RNAcentral lists this microRNA precursor (202 nucleotides) under Paramuricea clavata. The record is from RNAcentral. Lineage: Eukaryota; Metazoa; Cnidaria; Anthozoa; Malacalcyonacea; Plexauridae.
GUUGCGUUUUUCAUACGUACGUUUACGCACGUAAAACUUUAAAUCCGUUUAAAUGUUACUUAUGAAAUAACCAAAUAAAUAAAGCAACAGAAUUUAGUGUUCCGCAAGUUUUAGUAUGCAUUUGUUAACUUAUUUGUAAAAUAUUUAAAAAAUAGAAGAAUUCAAAGUUUUACGUGCGUGUACGUGCGUACGAAAACGCAAC